AAUAAAGCUAACUUGUUGCCUCAUAAAGUAUACUAAAAUUAACUCAAAAUGGAUCUAAGACCCAAAAUAUAAAAGUUAUAGUAACUGUAAAAUUCUUAGAAGAAAAAGGAGUAACACCUUGUGCAUUUAAUUUAGUGGUUUCUUACAUGCAACAACCAAAAUGCAAACAAACAAACAAGCACAGAUACAAUGGAUAUAAUCAGAGUUAACUUGUGUGUUUCAAAGGACAUCAAGAAAGUGAAAAAGCAAUAGCGGGCAUGACUAUACAUUCCUAUAAUCCUAGCAGAUAAAAGGCUGAGGCAGGAGGGCAUUCAAGGACAGUUUGGCCUAUGUAGUGAGUUCAAGGGCAGCCUGAACUACAUAAGAAGACCCUGUCUCAAGAAGCGUCCGAAAGAAAAAGUGUAAAAAGAAUAAAGAACAUUUGUUGGAAAGAGAGAUCAUUUAUCACUGUAGUCUUGCCAGCUUUGAACUCCAAGGAAAUCUACUAAAUGAAGAGUCAAUACUUAAUCCAGAGUUACAUGUAAGUAUUUGCCCAAAAGUAAAGAAGCCAGGGGGAGGGGAGACACUUUAAAGAGAAGACAUAUAGGAAG
This 590-nucleotide long non-coding RNA is filed under the name Chinchilla lanigera (long-tailed chinchilla). RNAcentral's name for it is "lncRNA (ENSCLAG00000022933.1)". Lineage: Eukaryota; Metazoa; Chordata; Mammalia; Rodentia; Chinchillidae. The record is from RNAcentral.